This 253-nucleotide ribosomal RNA is filed under the name uncultured bacterium. RNAcentral's name for it is "partial 16S ribosomal RNA". It matches the Rfam family "Bacterial small subunit ribosomal RNA", at positions 524 to 776 of the family's 1533-position model. The record is from RNAcentral.
UACGUAGGGGGCUAGCGUUGUCCGGAAUCAUUGGGCGUAAAGAGCGUGUAGGCGGCUCGGUAAGUCCGCUGUGAAAGUCGGGGGCUCAACCCUCGAAUGCCGGUGGAUACUGUCGAGCUAGAAUUCGGUAGGGGAGACUGGAAUUCCUGGUGUAGCGGUGAAAUGCGUAGAUAUCAGGAGGAACGCCGGUGGCGAAGGCGGGUCUCUGGGCAGAAAUUGACGCUGAGGAGCGAAAGCGUGGGGAGCAAACAGG